This 368-nucleotide ribosomal RNA is filed under the name uncultured bacterium. RNAcentral describes it as "bacterial SSU rRNA". It matches the Rfam family "Bacterial small subunit ribosomal RNA", at positions 917 to 1289 of the family's 1533-position model. The record is from RNAcentral.
GGGCCCGCACAAGCGGUGGAGCAUGUGGUUUAAUUCGAUGCAACGCGAAGAACCUUACCUACCCUUGACAUCCUCGGAAUCUGCCGGAGACGGCGGAGUGCCUUCGGGAACCGAGUGACAGGUGCUGCAUGGCUGUCGUCAGCUCGUGUCGUGAGAUGUUGGGUUAAGUCCCGCAACGAGCGCAACCCACGUCUUUAGUUGCCAGCAUUUAGUUGGGCACUCUAGAGAGACUGCCGGUGAUAAACCGGAGAAGGUGUGGAUGACGUCAAGUCAUCAUGCCCCUUACAUCUGGGCUACACACGUACUACAAUGCUACGGACAAAGGGCAGCAAGUUCGCGAGGACAAGCAAAUCCCAUAAACGUGGCUC